CAUAUACUUCCUCCGUCCAACAAAUGAUGUCUUAAGUUUGUAAAAAAUUGGAUGUAUCUAGACAUGACUUAAUGUAUAGAUGCAUUUAAAUUUGGUCAAAAUUGAGACAUCCUUUGUUUACGGAGGGAGUACAAG
Brachypodium distachyon (stiff brome) is the source of this 135-nucleotide non-coding RNA. The record is from Rfam. Lineage: Eukaryota; Viridiplantae; Streptophyta; Magnoliopsida; Poales; Poaceae.